Molecule: long non-coding RNA, 513 nt
Organism: Eublepharis macularius
Lineage: Eukaryota; Metazoa; Chordata; Lepidosauria; Squamata; Eublepharidae
Exons: 2
Source: RefSeq, a predicted model, not a curated record
AUACCGCUCUCUUUUUCUUUUCUCCCCCCCCCCUCCAAGAACACCGUUCUUAUUUGGGGGGCCGGGGGUUAUCUGAAUGCAGCCACCGAGAUAAAGAGGAAAAGGGGUGGGGGAGAAAGGGGCAACUGUGUGGGAAUGAGACCAGAUCUGCUCUUGACGACUGCUCCUUGGAAACUUUUCUCUCCCCCCCCCCCCUUUGGAUUGCAGACUUCAAACAAGCCCUCUUUCAGAGAUGCAAGCGCGUCUGCCGUGGAGGAAAUUAAACAUCAUAAAGAAAAGCCCAAUUAGGGUUUAAUGUCUCAACGUUGCUGUUUCCUCCAGAAAACAAUGAAGUUCUCUCGGCUGAUAAACGUGGGUGCUGCUGGAGCUGUAUCCACUAUUACUGGCCUACAUUGGGGAAGGGGGAAGAAAGCUGUUGAAGAUUUUUUUUCUCCCCCCUGUAAAAACGCCGAGAUUUUACUUUGAUCAUGGUGUGCCUGAUGGGAGUAAAGCUCCCUGCUGACUGAAAUAGAA